Molecule: non-coding RNA, 115 nt
Organism: Planoprotostelium fungivorum
Lineage: Eukaryota; Evosea; Variosea; Cavosteliida; Cavosteliaceae
Source: the annotation of a GenBank genome assembly
GCAUCUGUGGCCGAGUUGGUUAUGGCGCUAGACUCAAGCGAAAGCUUACUGCCAAGUCAUGGUAGAGAUUUCUAGUGUGGGUAACCGCGCGUGGGUUCGAAUCCCACCGGAUGCA